RNAcentral lists this long non-coding RNA (4222 nucleotides) under Phaseolus vulgaris (common bean). Its description in RNAcentral is "long non-coding RNA (PVUL_LNC002790)". Lineage: Eukaryota; Viridiplantae; Streptophyta; Magnoliopsida; Fabales; Fabaceae. The record is from RNAcentral.
CCCGUAUCCACCAAAGUACGGAAGUGCAUAAAACACAAGAAUGCACCUGCACUGACCGGGGAAAGGAGAAUGAUAGGGACUGCAAGUUCUUCAGCAGCUUGUAUAGGAAAACUCAUGAAACAAUCAGAGACUAUGCAGGUAACUGGGGGGAUGAGGCCAGCAGUGGCAGAGUGGUUAAGUCUAGCAAGAAGGUCACGAAAGGGUUGGAGGAAGUUCUUUCUGAAGGAGUCACAAAGAGAGGGUAUGUGUUGACUAACAUCACCAUCAGCAUCAUCAUCCAAGGGAGGAAGGCCAUCUGGGAUGGUUUCAAAGCGAAAAUCUGGCAGGCCCUGAAGGGCAUUAGGACCCCUUGAUUUGAGGUAGCGUUUGUGGUUGUAGUCGGUGUGGACAAAGGUUAUGUGAAAGCCUCUGAGAUGAAGCAGCUUUGCUAGUUUGAACAAGGGAUUUAUAUGUCCUUGAAGUGGAAAUGGAACCAGCACAGCGUGUGGCUUUGUCUCAGCAGUGCAGUUCAUCUUGAAUUUUCCUUUUUAUGCAAAAUGAAGGGGAAAGUCAAAGGAAAGGAAAACCCUCUCAACAAAUAUAGCAAGCUCAAUGAAUGAACCACUUGCCAGACAAGACAAUUGCAACAUCUUGCAGUUUUUUAUAUAAAAGGCCUUUUUUAGAAGUAGUGGCAUUUUGAUGGGAUAGAUGUUGAAUUUAAAAAAUGAAAAGAAAAUAUUUGAGUGGUUACUACAUGUGGGGAAUGGGUGAGGUAGGAUACAGAUUCUGUCGCCUCUAAUGCAGAAGGCAAUCCAAAUACUAUGGAGAAAGAUAAAUGGACAGGUGUUGUUGCAGUGUUCACUAAAGUCAAUGAUCCCUCGUCUAUCACCAUUUUUCCUUCUGCUUCAACUUAAAACUAACUUUGUUUAUCCCUACAAUGAUUUACAACAAUUCACCUACAAAUUUCAUUAUCAAAUAUGGUGUUGACUUUUUAUGUUUAAAUAAGAAAUCAAUACUCUUAACACCACUUUUCUAGUGAAAGGGGUAUGGAUACUGAUGUGAAGAGAAAAAAGGUAUGAAUGAAUUGUUAUCAGAGUCUCACAUUGAAUAAUAAACAAAAAGAAAAGUUGAUAAUUAUUAUAAAGUUGAGGAAUUAAUUUAAGUAAUUUUACUGUUCUUUUUUAGUACAGAAGAUUAAGAUAGUUGUGUGUCAUAAUAAAAUUUGUAUUUUUUUGUAAAAUUUAUAUAAGAGGUUUUGUAAUUUUCUUGUUAGAAGAAUCAGUGUGUCUGCAUGUAAGCCUAAUCAACUAACUAUAUUGUAAAAUAUUUUUUUCAUAUUAAAGUUGACUGUGUUUAUUUUUUAUUGACAUCAUCAAAAUUAUUAACUUAUUUUUAAUGUUAGGUUGUAAGUCCCAUAAUUAACAAUAAAACAACAGAUACGGACCUUUUCAUUACCACUCUACAACCUUAUUUGUUAUCGUUUAUAUUUAAUAAUUUAAUUUAUCCUUUAAUUAAAUAACUUAAUUCAAUAUAUUAUUAUUAUUAUUUAAUAUAAUAAGGAUGUAAAAGAAAAGAAUACCAACAUAUAAACACCAUUCCACUAAUAAACAAAAAAAGGCUAAUGGGAGAUUUAAUAGCCUCGCAUUAUUUUAACCCAGAUUUCAAUUUGAUCCAAGAGUAUUUUUUAUAAUUGUUUAUGUAUAUGUUCAAUUUGCUGAUGCAGCUUACACUGUUAAAAUAAUUUAAUUAAUUUAAAAGAAACCCAUAAAUUUACGUAACCGUCUACAGAUACCAAUGCAAAAACAAGAUAUAAUAGAGUGACGAUGAAUCACAUAAAAAAAUAUUUAACAUUGAGUGAAACAUAAUCUACGUCCACAUAUAUAAAAAUUCAUUAUAUGGAUAUGGGAUUAAAAUUUAUAAUUUCUCUCAAGUUUUAUAACGAACUCUUAAUUUAAUUCAAACGUUAAAAAAUAUUUUAAUAUAAUCAAACAAAAAAAUUGUUUAAUUAACUUCCAGUAGAAGACACUCUUCGAAAAAAGGUCUGCAAUGAAUCAACUGAGGGAACAAUGAAACGGCAACUAAAAUUCUAAAAAAUAAACAAAAGUAUUAAACAGUCUAAGUAAAGUUCUCAUUCACAAAAAAAGUCUUUGAACUACUAGACGAUCUAAAAGUUAUAUACCGUCUACAACCUUUUAAACGGUUUAAGAAUCUUUCAACAUGGAUUAUGACAGAACGAAUAUUCACCAUUAAAUAGAUAAUUCUUAUUUCAAUUACAUAAAUUAUGUCAACUAACUAUGCAUGUUGUAACAUGCAAGAAACAAGUUGAUGGUAAUAUAAACUGAAAAUUAAUUAAUUGAUAACAAGUCUCUAAAUAUCAUCCAAAACAGAAUGAAUGGCGGUUUGAAAUAUCAAGAAAAAAUUAGAACAGAGGAAUUACAAACUACUAAGGGGCAUUUUUCUAUAACAUUCCAACACAUUCUAAGGGAAUGAAUUAUUACUGUGGUGCUUAUAUGUUUACUCUAUAAACAGUGAAAACACACAUCUCAUGAAUAACAAAAACCCUUCAAUCGCAUGAUGUCUGCUUAAGCAACACCUCCUUGAUUACUUUGUCCAAGUUUAUGUAUGAACAACCACCUGGUCUUGUCACCUCCUCUGCUUUCUUCUUCAACUCCAUCGUCCUUUCUCUCAUCUUCUUGCCCUUCUCCCCUGCCAUCAACUCAUUCACCAGCUUCUCCACCUCCUCUCUCUUCGCAUUGCUAUCAACUUCAAUCCCAAUCUCCCACUCAUGGCACAUAUAUCUGCAGUUUGUUGGCUGAUCUGCAAAAAAUGGCCAACACAACAUUGGGACUCCAGCACAAACACUUUCAGUAGUCGAGUUCCAUCCACAGUGAGUCAAGAAACCUCCAACUGAAGGAUGGUUCAGCACUUUCUCCUGUGGGCACCAGCUUGCUAUCAGGCUUCUGUCUCUGGUUUCAUUCACAAACUCUGAUGACAAGAUCACGGAACCUCCAAUGACAAGGUCAGGCCUAAUGAUCCACAAAAACGGUUUCUUGCUGUUUGCCAAACCCCAAGCAAACUCCAACAGUUGAUCUGCAGACAUAACAGUGAUGCUGCCAAAAUUCACAUAAACUACGGAUCCAGGUUCCUUGGAUUCAAGCCAAUCGAGACACUCGGUGUUUUCCUUCCAAAGACUGGAACCUAAAGAUUCCAAGUGCUGGUGUGGAGUUUGAUUCAAAAGUAAAGGGAAAGGACCAAUGGUAUAAACAGAAGGGAGUUUAAAGGAAGAGGAGAUUGCAUUAAUUGCAUCUCUUUCAAGUUCAUCAAAAGUAUUAAAAACAACAGCAGAGGCGCUGGGAAUUUUAUCAGUUUCUUCAAUGAAAAAGUUCAACAUUACAUCAUUUGGAUCUGUUGUCCUCAUAAAGUCAGGCAGGUCCUUCAGCCGAAAAUUUGUCAACCCUGGAAUGCAGUCUGCUUUGGCGUCCAAAUAUCCAUUUGUCAGAUCACUCUCAUCUGCAUGUCACAAUCACAAAGGCCAAUAGCUGUCAAAUCCAUGCAUGAACACAUCUAUCACAUAGUACAUUCAAAUGUAAUAACUGUUUUAAGUUCCUUAAUAUUCUAAAAAAAAUGGUUUUGUCCCUGUAUUUUAAAAAGACUAUCUUGGUCUUUGUAUUUUCUGAAAUAUGAUCAACUUUGUUUGUUCCUCAUCUGGUCAAAAUGACAAAAACGAUCACAAAAUUCACAAAUUCACCACAGUUCAAAAGUUAGUGGACUAAAGGUAUCCUUUCCAAAUUAUAGGUACUAAACUUGAUCCAGUGUAAAUCUUGAAGAUGCUAAAACACGUUUUAUGCUGAAUGGAUGAAGAACAUAACUGUAUAUAUACCUUUGAGGGGUACGGUUCCUCUUUCAACCAGAGUACGAUAGUGCAUGAAAGACCAGAAUGCACCUGCACUGAGUGGGGAAAGGAGAAGGACAGGGAGUCCAAGUUCCUGAGCUGCUUGGAUAGGAAAAGUGACGAAACAGUCAGAAACCAAGCAGGUAACUGGGGGGUUGAGACCAGUAGUGGCAGAGUGGUUAAGUCUAGCAAGAAGGUCACGAAAGGGUUGGAGGAAGUUCUUUCUGAUGGAGUCACAGAGAGAGGGUAUGUGUUGACUAACAUCAGCAUCAGCAUCAGCAUCCAAGGGAGGAAGGCCAUCUGGGAUGGUUUCAAAGCGAAAAUCUGGCAGGCCCUGAAGGGCAUUAGGAC